UACGUAGGGUGCAAGCGUUGUCCGGAAUUAUUGGGCGUAAAGAGCUCGUAGGCGGUUUGUCGCGUCUGCUGUGAAAACUCGGGGCUUAACCCCGGGCCUGCAGUGGGUACGGGCAGACUAGAGUGCGGUAGGGGAGACUGGAACUCCUGGUGUAGCGGUGAAAUGCGCAGAUAUCAGGAGGAACACCGGUGGCGAAGGCGGGUCUCUGGGCCGAUACUGACGCUGAGGAGCGAAAGCGUGGGGAGCGAACAGG
Molecule: ribosomal RNA, 253 nt
Filed under: uncultured bacterium
Lineage: Bacteria
Description: partial 16S ribosomal RNA
Rfam family: Bacterial small subunit ribosomal RNA
Source: RNAcentral